AAUGAAUUUAUAUGGACAGAUGUAUAC
This 27-nucleotide non-coding RNA is filed under the name Cricetulus griseus (Chinese hamster). The record is from RNAcentral. Lineage: Eukaryota; Metazoa; Chordata; Mammalia; Rodentia; Cricetidae.